GGAAAACGGCCAGCGUGACUAUGCACGAACAAGUCGCCAAUCUUUAUCUCGUUUAAUAACCUUUUACAUCUUGUAUUUAAAAUAAGAGAUAUAUAGUUUAUUUAGGAUAAGUGGCACCGUUGGCUUGCCUUUGUUUCCUUCGAUGGAAGAAACGAGAGUUGACUCUACUCGGUCGCGGUUUUCAACGUUGAAACCAGUUAUACCCGUAACGCGUUAUUGCGACCGUGAGGCUAUUUUUGCCAAAGUAAAACGUUGUCGCAGGUAUCGCGCGCAACGUUCUGACACGAUCGAACAAAGCGAUGGUUUUCUGUUCUGGCGAUUAUUCGCGUGUAGCCAGACCUAAGACUUCCACACGGCAAAAAACGAAAGGAGUACCGUUGCUGAGGCAAGUCGUGGGGCAAAGUCCGCGAGUUGUGAUUCGAGUUAAGUCGAUCUCGGUCCCGUCUGCACUUUGCUCGUCGUAUUCGCGUCGUUCUUGUCCGAUGUCAAGGACCUCAACCUCUCGUAAAUUUUACUGGAGGAAGAUCGAAGAGUAGAUCGUCUCGGUAUCGAAAUAAUUUCAACGAGUCUUGUAAUUUAAAAUUCAAAAUCAUAAAUUCUGGCAAUCACUUGUAACCUUCAGACACCGAUUUCUAUUACGAACUUCGAUUCCUUCCACUCACUCGGUUCCACGAUUUCUCCAUCGCGAAUGCGAGCUAUCGACGCGUUCUAUUGUGUCGAAAGGCCAUGCAAGGCGCUUGCAAACAAUGCGAUCGAUAGUAAACUUCGGCCAUUGCGCCUGCACCCGUUGCUGCACCCAUAUUUUUCAUAUACCACACUUACAUGUAUAUGUAUAUAUAUACACACACAUAUACGUGUAAC
This 861-nucleotide unclassified non-coding RNA is filed under the name Bombus terrestris (buff-tailed bumblebee). RNAcentral's name for it is "misc RNA ENSBTSG00005038324.1". The record is from RNAcentral. Lineage: Eukaryota; Metazoa; Arthropoda; Insecta; Hymenoptera; Apidae.